GAUGAACGCUGGCGGCGUGCCUAAUACAUGCAAGUCGAGCGAACAGACGAGGAGCUUGCUCCUCUGACGUUAGCGGCGGACGGGUGAGUAACACGUGGAUAACCUACCUAUAAGACUGGGAUAACUUCGGGAAACCGGAGCUAAUACCGGAUAAUAUAUUGAACCGCAUGGUUCAAUAGUGAAAGACGGUUUUGCUGUCACUUAUAGAUGGAUCCGCGCCGCAUUAGCUAGUUGGUAAGGUAACGGCUUACCAAGGCAACGAUGCGUAGCCGACCUGAGAGGGGGAUCGGCCACACUGGAACUGAGACACGGGCCAGACUCCUACGGGAGGCAGCAGUAGGGAAUCUUCCGCAAUGGGCGAAAGCCUGACGGAGCAACGCCGCGGGAGUGAUGAAGGUCUUCGGAUCGUAAAACUCUGUUAUUAGGGAAGAACAAAUGUGUAAGUAACUAUGCACGUCUUGACGGUACCUAAUCAGAAAGCCACGGCUAACUACGUG
Molecule: ribosomal RNA, 497 nt
Filed under: uncultured bacterium
Lineage: Bacteria
Description: partial 16S ribosomal RNA
Rfam family: Bacterial small subunit ribosomal RNA
Source: RNAcentral